Molecule: transfer RNA, 65 nt
Filed under: Endochironomus tendens
Lineage: Eukaryota; Metazoa; Arthropoda; Insecta; Diptera; Chironomidae
Description: tRNA-Arg
Source: RNAcentral
AAAUAAGAAGCAAAUAAUUGUGAUUAGUUUCGACCUAAUUUUAGAUAUAAGUAUAUCCUUAUUUU